AACGCACAUUGCGCCCCUUGGUAUUCCGAGGGGCAUGCCUGUCCGAGCGUCAUUUCAACCCUCAAGCAUAGCUUGGUCUUGGGCUUCGCUGCUAACCCAGCGGGUCUUAAAAUCAGUGGCGGUGCCGUCGGGCCCUGAGCGUAGUACAUCUCCUCGCUAUAGGGCCCCGGCGGAUGCUGGCCAUCAACCCCCAAUUUUCUAUGGUUGACCUCGGAUCAGGUAGGGAUACCCGCUGAACUUAA
This 242-nucleotide unclassified non-coding RNA is filed under the name uncultured fungus. RNAcentral describes it as "partial contains 5.8S ribosomal RNA, internal transcribed spacer 2, and large subunit ribosomal RNA". The stretch from base 1 to 52 matches the Rfam family "5.8S ribosomal RNA", at positions 103 to 154 of the family's 154-position model. The record is from RNAcentral. Lineage: Eukaryota; Fungi.